GAGGGAAUGAUGCACAAUGGCGGCAGAGCAUGAAUAUUCCUAUCGAAGCUGCAUAUUUACUGUGUCAGUCAGGAACCCACUCCUGAGGUUUCAGAAAGGAUACAGGUCUGUGAAAGGCACGGAUCCACUGCAGCUCCUACACAAGAAUGCCAGAGAAGACUUUGCUUCGAAUCAGCCAUGCGCUCUGCAGGACCGGCUUCCACAGGAGGACUCUCUAUGGAUUCUAUUCCCUGAACAGACAAAUUAGUGGACCGACG
This 257-nucleotide long non-coding RNA is filed under the name Fukomys damarensis (Damara mole-rat). RNAcentral's name for it is "lncRNA (ENSFDAG00000032210.1)". Lineage: Eukaryota; Metazoa; Chordata; Mammalia; Rodentia; Bathyergidae. The record is from RNAcentral.